CCUGCAUGAUUGAUGAUA
Molecule: non-coding RNA, 18 nt
Filed under: Arabidopsis thaliana (thale cress)
Lineage: Eukaryota; Viridiplantae; Streptophyta; Magnoliopsida; Brassicales; Brassicaceae
Source: RNAcentral